RNAcentral lists this ribosomal RNA (1038 nucleotides) under Triticum aestivum (bread wheat). Its description in RNAcentral is "partial small subunit ribosomal RNA". Lineage: Eukaryota; Viridiplantae; Streptophyta; Magnoliopsida; Poales; Poaceae. The record is from RNAcentral.
AUGAGGUGCCACAAGGAACGAAGGAACAAGAAGGGGAAAGGUGUUGUGCCCGUCGUUCCGGAACGAAAGAGAGGUAUCAUUCUCAAGACGGAAUGCCCUGUCCGGUGUAAGCUAAACGUAGAUGGAGCAUAGUGGACGGUCACUGAAUAUUUUGACGAGCACAACCACAAACUCAUAAAGAAGUUCGACCUGGUAAAAUUUCUGACCGCCCACAGAGGAUUCACCCCCCUCGAGAAGAAAUUCAUAAAACUGCUACAUGAUUGUAACGUCGGUCCAUCAAGAAUGGUCCAGAUACUAUCACUCAUCCACGGCAAAAAAGGGACUUUGAGUAGCAUGCCCUACAUACCAGCUAACGUCACAAACCUAAAGGCAAAGUACCGUAGAGUGAGCAAGUUGGCUGACAUAGAGGACACAAUGGCCUACUUCGAUGAGAAAGCGAAGGAAGAUCCAGAUUUCUUCUACAGGAUAAGAUUGGACGAUGAGGACCGUGUCAGGAACAUGUAUUGGGUGGAUGGUGCUGCAAGAAGAGCCUACAAACAUUUCCGAGAUUGCAUUUCAUUCGACGCGACAUAUCUCACUAAUAUGUACAAGAUGCCAUGCGCUCCAUUCAUAGGAAUAGAUAACUACAACACGGAUGGGUACGUUUGCCUGUUCAAGAACUUCUUGGAGUGCAUGGAUGGACUUGCUCCGAUGAACAUAAUAACAGACCAAGAUUUUAGCAUGCGUGUAGGCAUAGAGGAGGUCUUUCCAUUGGCAGUGCACAGGCACUGCAGGUGGCACAUUAUAAAGAAGGCUGAGAAGACGCUAGGACCGUUCUUUGCUACUACGCAGCAUAGCGAGGGGUUCAAUACUGUUUUGAAGCGGUACCACGGCAUUGUGUACUGUCACAUACUAAAAGUAAUGGACAUGAACGCGGUGACACGGAUGCCCCACCAUUUCAUAAGGCGGCGAUGGACUUGGGACGCUUACGACGCGUUGGCGCCGCAGACAACAAACGCAGUUUUGGCUGUGCAUGACGAGAGACCGUGGAAGCCGUGA